Molecule: ribosomal RNA, 466 nt
Filed under: uncultured bacterium
Lineage: Bacteria
Description: partial 16S ribosomal RNA
Rfam family: Bacterial small subunit ribosomal RNA
Source: RNAcentral
GAUGAACGCUGGCGGCGUGCUUAACACAUGCAAGUCGAACGAUGACGCCCAACUUGUUGGGUGGUCUCGUGGCGAACGGGUGAGUGACACGAGAGUAAGCUGCACUUCACUCUGGGAUAAGCCUAGGAAACUGGGUGUAAUCCCAGACAGCAGCGUCCACCGAAAGGUGGGUGGUGGACAGAUUGAUCGGUUUUGGGUGGACUCGCGGGCUAUCAGCUUGUUGGUGAGGGAAGUGCUCACCAAGGCGACGACCGGUAGCCGGCCUGUGAGGGUGACCGGCCACACGGGGACUGAGAGACGGACCAGACGCCUACGGGAGGCAGCAGUGGGGAAUAUUGCACAAUGGGGGCGAGCCUGAUGCAGCGACGCCGCGUGAGGGAUGACGUCCUUCGGGUUGGAAACCGCUUACAGUAGGGAAGAAGCGAAAGUGACGGUACCUGCAGAAGAAGCACCGGCUAACUACGUG